AUACCCUUUCUAUUGGUUGACAGAGUACUUUAAGAGGCUAGCUCAAAAGGGUAGCCUACGUCCUUAUAAAACUCAGAGAAGAGAUCGUAAAACUCUUCUUUGGAUCCUGUCUGGAAUCUUAGUA
This is a small nucleolar RNA of Erinaceus europaeus (western European hedgehog), 124 nucleotides long. NCBI's taxonomy places the organism in Eukaryota, Metazoa, Chordata, Mammalia, Eulipotyphla, Erinaceidae. The record is from Ensembl.